GUGGGGAAUCUUAGACAAUGGGCGCAAGCCUGAUCUAGCCAUGCCGCGUGAGCGAUGAAGGCCUUAGGGUUGUAAAGCUCUUUCAGGGGGGAAGAUAAUGACGGUACCCCCAGAAGAAGCCCCGGCUAACUCCGUGCCAGCAGCCGCGGUAAUACGGAGGGGGCUAGCGUUGUUCGGAAUUACUGGGCGUACAGCGCACGUAGGCGGACCAGAAAGUCAGGGGUGAAAUCCCGGGGCUCAACCCCGGAACUGCCUUUGAAACUCCUGGUCUUGAGGUCGAGAGAGGUGAGUGGAAUUCCGAGGGUAGAGGUGAAAUUCGUAGAUAUUCGGAGGAACACCAGUGGCGAAGGCGGCUCACUGGCUCGAUACUGACGCUGAGGUGCGAAAGCGUGGGGAGCAAACAGGAUUAGAAACCCCAGUAGUCC
This 425-nucleotide ribosomal RNA is filed under the name uncultured bacterium. RNAcentral's name for it is "bacterial SSU rRNA". It matches the Rfam family "Bacterial small subunit ribosomal RNA", at positions 354 to 796 of the family's 1533-position model. The record is from RNAcentral.